AAUAUUUAACUCCGGUCCUGCUGAUCUCUGGAGGACAGGUACAGACAGCACUAGCUCAUGCACGAGUCAUUCAAGGGAGGUAGGCAUUUUCUCAAAGCAACUCCCUCUCCAGGCAUUUUAGGGAAGAACAUGUCUAUGGUGUUGAAGACCCAUUCUGUGAACUUCUUCAGCUUGUCCGAGGCGUUCUGGGACUCCUCCUGUAGCCUCAGGUUGUCCUCUCGCAGGUGCUGCACCUCCGCCUGAAGUGGAGUACCGAAAGAAGUGUGAGCUGGGGUACGGCAGGCCAGCCAGCGAGCUAGACA
This 302-nucleotide long non-coding RNA is filed under the name Homo sapiens (human). Its description in RNAcentral is "HSALNT0212924". Lineage: Eukaryota; Metazoa; Chordata; Mammalia; Primates; Hominidae. The record is from RNAcentral.